UACGUAGGGAGCAAGCGUUGUCCGGAUUUAUUGGGCGUAAAGAGCUCGUAGGCGGCUUAGAAAGUCAGAUGUGAAAACUCCAGGCUCAACCUGGAGACGCCAUUUGAUACUUCUAUGGCUUGAGUUCGGUAGGGGACCAUGGAAUUCCUGGUGUAGCGGUGAAAUGCGCAGAUAUCAGGAGGAACACCGGUGGCGAAGGCGGGACUCUGGGCCGAUACUGACGCUGAGGAGCGAAAGCGUGGGGAGCAAACAGG
This 254-nucleotide ribosomal RNA is filed under the name uncultured bacterium. RNAcentral's name for it is "partial 16S ribosomal RNA". It matches the Rfam family "Bacterial small subunit ribosomal RNA", at positions 524 to 776 of the family's 1533-position model. The record is from RNAcentral.